Molecule: ribosomal RNA, 454 nt
Filed under: uncultured bacterium
Lineage: Bacteria
Description: bacterial SSU rRNA
Rfam family: Bacterial small subunit ribosomal RNA
Source: RNAcentral
CUACGGAAGGCAGCAGUAGGGAAUAUUGGUCAAUGGAUGCAAGUCUGAACCAGCCAUGCCGCGUGCAGGAAGAAGGCCUUCUGGGUUGUAAACUGCUUUUGCCAGGGGAUAAAAAUCUCAUGCGUGAGAAAUUGAAGGUACCUGGUGAAUAAGCCACGGCUAACUACGUGCCAGCAGCCGCGGUAAUACGUAGGUGGCAAGCGUUGUCCGGAUUUAUUGGGUUUAAAGGGUGCGUAGGCGGCCCUGUAAGUCAGUGCUGAAAUAUCCCGGCUUAACCGGGAGGGUGGCAUUGAUACUGCAGGGCUUGAGUACAGAUGAGGUAGGUGGAAUUGACGGUGUAGCGGUGAAAUGCAUAGAUAUCGUCAAGAACUCCGAUAGCGAAGGCAGCUUACUAAGCUGUAACUGACGCUGAGGCACGAAAGUGUGGGGAUCAAACAGGAUUAGAUACCCCGGU